This 585-nucleotide ribosomal RNA is filed under the name uncultured bacterium. RNAcentral describes it as "bacterial SSU rRNA". It matches the Rfam family "Bacterial small subunit ribosomal RNA", at positions 338 to 916 of the family's 1533-position model. The record is from RNAcentral.
CCUACGGGAGGCAGCAGUGGGGAAUUUUGGACAAUGGGGGCAACCCUGAUCCAGCCAUGCCGCGUGAGUGAAGAAGGCCUUCGGGUUGUAAAGCUCUUUCGGCCGGGAAGAAAUCGCAUAGGCUAAUACCCUGUGUGGAUGACGGUACCGGAAUAAGAAGCACCAGCUAACUACGUGCCAGCAGCCGCGGUAAUACGUAGGGUGCAAGCGUUAAUCGGAAUUACUGGGCGUAAAGCGUGCGCAGGCGGUUUUGUAAGACAGGCGUGAAAUCCCCGGGCUCAACCUGGGAAUGGCGCUUGUGACUGCAAAGCUGGAGUGCGGCAGAGGGGGAUGGAAUUCCGCGUGUAGCAGUGAAAUGCGUAGAUAUGCGGAGGAACACCAAUGGCGAAGGCAAUCCCCUGGGCCUGCACUGACGCUCAUGCACGAAAGCGUGGGGAGCAAACAGGAUUAGAUACCCUGGUAGUCCACGCCCUAAACGAUGUCAACUGGUUGUUGGUCCUCAGCUGGAUCAGUAACGAAGCUAACGCGUGAAGUUGACCGCCUGGGGAGUACGGCCGCAAGGCUGAAACUCAAAUGAAUUGACGG